GAGAAUGGAUUCAAAUGUCUCUAUUUUCGCGCCAUCUCCAACAAUUACAGAUAGCCUUUUAAGUAUUCUAAAAGAUAAUUUAUUCAAUGAUCUAGCUCUUAGCAAAUACUAUUACAAAGUACCCUACGAUUCAUUCUCACCUAAUAUUAAAAUAUGUACAAAACCAUUAAAAAAAUUAUACUGGUACUAUUAGAGGUGGCCUUAGAAUAGUUUCCCUGCCUCCUUAGCAUAAAAAAAUAGAACCUUUCAUUCUUUAUUGGUUUGUUUGACUGGGACCAAACCCAGCAGAUUUUCUAUUAUAUCAUCUAUCCUAAAAGUAGUUAAUACCUAAAAAAGGUUUCUAGGAGAUAAUCUAUCUUACCCUCUAAAAACAGAGCGUCAUAUAUAUUAGAAAUAUAAACUUAAACUCUAAAUAUUGGAAAUAUUAACUUAAACUCUAAAUAUAAAUGUUCUUUCAUAUAUCAACAGGGUUUUCCUUACCGCGUUAAUCAGCCCCUCCGCGGAGACGCGGUAUGAC
RNAcentral lists this long non-coding RNA (517 nucleotides) under Oryza brachyantha (malo sina). RNAcentral's name for it is "long non-coding RNA (OBRA_LNC001297)". The record is from RNAcentral. Lineage: Eukaryota; Viridiplantae; Streptophyta; Magnoliopsida; Poales; Poaceae.